GUGAAUCAUCGAAUCUUUGAACGCACCUUGCGCUCCUUGGUAUUCCGAGGAGCAUGCCUGUUUGAGUGUCAUUAAAUUCUCAACCCUAUAAGAUUUUUCUUUAUAGUGGCUUGGAUGUGGGGGUUUUCUUGCUGGCUUUUAUUAGUCUGCUCCCCUGAAAUGCAUUAGCUGGUGUCUCUUGCCAGUCUAUAUUGGUGUGAUAAUUAUCUACGCCAUUGGACUUGUAAAAGCACUGCUUCUAACUGUCCUGUUAUUUGGGACAAACUACUACAAUGACAAUUUGACCUCAAAUCAGGUAGG
This 300-nucleotide unclassified non-coding RNA is filed under the name uncultured Agrocybe. RNAcentral describes it as "sequence contains 5.8S rRNA gene, ITS2". The stretch from base 1 to 71 matches the Rfam family "5.8S ribosomal RNA", at positions 84 to 154 of the family's 154-position model. Lineage: Eukaryota; Fungi; Basidiomycota; Agaricomycetes; Agaricales; Bolbitiaceae. The record is from RNAcentral.